CAGCAGCCGCGGGAAAACGGAGGGUGCAAGCGUUAAUCGGAAUUACUGGGCGCAAAGCGCACGCAGGCGGUUUGUUAAGUCAGAUGUGAAAUCCCCGAGCUUAACUUGGGAACUGCAUUUGAAACUGGCAAGCUAGAGUCUUGUAGAGGGGGGUAGAAUUCCAGGUGUAGCGGUGAAAUGCGUAGAGAUCUGGAGGAAUACCGGUGGCGAAGGCGGCCCCCUGGACAAAGACUGACGCUCAGGUGCGAAAGCGUGGGGAGCAAACAGGAUUAGAUACCCGCGUAGUCCCUGUCUCUUAUAC
This 301-nucleotide ribosomal RNA is filed under the name uncultured bacterium. RNAcentral describes it as "partial 16S ribosomal RNA". It matches the Rfam family "Bacterial small subunit ribosomal RNA", at positions 509 to 807 of the family's 1533-position model. The record is from RNAcentral.